ACUAACAAAAUUUCGUAGCUAAAGAAUGCCAUGGCCGGGUGCAGUGGCUCACGCCUAUAAUCCCAGCACUUUGGGAGGCCGAGGCGGGCGGAUCACGAGGUCAGGAGAUUGAGACCAUCCUGGCUACGACGGUGAAACCCCGUCUCUACUAAAAAUACAAAAAAUUAGCCGGGUGUGGUGGCGGGCGCCUGUAGUCCCAGCUACUCUGGAGGCUGAGGCAGGAGAAUGGCAUGAACCCAGGAGGCAGAGAUUGCAGUGAGCCAAGAUCACGCCCCUGCACUCCAGCCUGGGUGACAGAGCCAGACUCCGUCUCAAAGGAAAAAAAAAAAAAAAAAAAAAGAAUGCCAUGCCAGGAGAAGACAGCUGGUUUCAAAUCCCUGCCCCCAGGCAAGUAAAACCCUGACUUGCUCAAGACAGAAGAUCUUUUCUCCUGUUUUUCAAAAUAAACAUAUAUAGGGAUGGACCCUGUGCAUUGUGGCCUGCCUUGGUGUCCUAGAAUUGGAGCCAGUCUUUAGCUUAAUGUCUGAAGUAUUUAUACGGCCAAUAUGUGUUUUCUUAUGUCAGACCACACUGUCUUUUUGAAUAUCAGUUCAUUUCCUCUCACCGAGUGCUUUUCGGUGAGAGGCAAAGAGAAAGAAUGAACAAUCAAGUAUUGACAGACUGGCAUUAGCAGGACAGAGCCAUACUAGUGACAAGGGCAUCCCAAGGCACUUGCCCAGAGCUGCAGAGUUGUGUGUGCCAUACCUGCGGCUCAAAGGGAAGGCCUUCUAUCCCCUGAGUUUCUAUCAGCUGAAAAUGGCAACUGCUGUCUCAGUAAAAGCUCUGUCUUGACUGCAGAGGCUCCAAAAGCAUUCACAGUUGAGGGGGAGAAAGACAGAAAGAAGAAGCCAAAGAUAACCUGAUCCCUGCCUGUCUGUUGGCACCUGUCAUCCUCUGGCUUCUGCUCCCAAAAGCAAGUCUGGAUGACUGAGUUUUGUGGACAUGGCACUCCCGGAGACAGCAGUGGCCACCAUGGCACCCAGAGUUUGCCCAAGUACUGAAUGUUUUGUGAGCAACCAUGUUCCCCAAGUAGGUAGCCAGCGCUGCAGAAACCAAACAGCCUCUUAGCUACCUGACUUUAAAAGGAAUGACCUAGGUGUUCUGCCAAAGGAGUUAUCUAUCAUCUCUGGCAAACUUGACAAUCAUCACUUACCUCGACAACCCUGCCCCACAUCACUUUAUAAAGUCAGCAGGAUGUCUUCUCACCCACCCUGUGCUGGUGUCUAACAAAUUUAUCUUGUCAUGCUCAAAUGUGUUUGGCAGCCACACCGAUCGGCUGGGUGCUGAACCGCCUCUCUGUAAUUGUAGCAUCAAAAUGACAACAGCAGCAGAGCAGCGAAUCUUGCACAGCCCCACAGCAUGCCUGAGACAAGACUCCAACAAGUAAUAAUUAGCUUUUUUUCUCCUGCCGCCUACAGUACCUGUCUAACUAAAGAGCUUCCCAAAGUGGAGGGAAAGGCCAUAGAAUCCAGGUGUCAUUCAGAGCCAGUCCUUGCUGAAAUGUGGUCUUCCAGUGGAAGCACCUGUAUUAUUGAGAGGAAAAAGUGUUGGAUGCAAAGUAACACCAGGACUAGAGAGAAAGAGAAAGGUGAACCAUCCUAAGGAGCUUUGGAUACUUUUUUAGAAGGAUAAAUAUUAUGCUUACUGAGGAGAAAAAAAAAAGCGAUCACAGAAAAAUUUCACAGCUAAUAUUUUUACAAAAGUUGUGCCAGACAUUACAGAGUGAAAACGUCUCUCAAGGUGGAAUGCUUUAGAGAGCAAAGGCUUAGCAUAGACCUAGACCCUUGUGUGGGUAUGACAUGACAUGACAUGUCCAUGUCAAAAUUCACUUUAGUCAGAACCAGAGUAUUGAUAAACAAAAUGUCAGUUACCUGGAGCAGUCCUGGAGAGGUUAAGACAUUCUAUACUGUUCUACGUCAACCAUUUCUACAAAGUUGUCCAGACACCUAAAAGCAGCUUUCUUGGUUAUCCAGAUGCCAGAAUCAACCUUGUAUCUGACAAUGCACAUCUGUUGAUUCUAAAGUAUAUUUAUGUGUGUGUGUAUGUGUGUGUAUACAGCACAUAUUUACAUCUAUGAAGACAUAGACACUUACAGAGACCCACAUGAGCUGGCACUUUCUGAGCCUUUACAGCCUUUAAGACUCGGAGGUUGAGAAUUAGAGACACAAGAGAGGCUGUGGAUGGCCUAUUAAAAUGAUUAAAGAUGUAAAUUCAGUGCCAUUUUAAAACUGUUCAUAUUUAUCAAACAAUUACUGUCUACAGCUACAUUUUUUGUUAACUUACUUAAAGUCAUGUCGCAAGAAAGAUCAAACCCAUGAAUGCUUAGUAGCUAAGGCUAGUGUUCAAAAGCACUCUAAAAGACAUUUUGUCCACAUUUUGGAAAAGAAAAUAUUUGCAUGUUUAAUUCAUAAUUUAGGCUAUCUUUGAGUAUACUGUAAAGUGCUGUGUGAUAUAAUAUCAAUAAAGUACUUAUUAAAUGGCACUUUAAUGUUUUCUUUUAAAAUAACGCACUGUUCUAAACUUCAGUAUUGACUAUUGACUCGUGCAUAGAAUCCAAUGCUGUAAUUAGAAAGUAAUCUGUGACUAGAAUAGACCUUUGUCCCUGUUAGUAGCCCUGUUGCCAUGUUCAGGCUUUUAAAAAAUGCUUUUGUGUCACCAAAUAUAUCUAUAAAGAAAACAAAAUUUCUGUUCAGAGGCCUCUGAAACUUGGCUUUCUUACAUGUGGUUGGUUUAUGUGACAAUCCCUAUGAAAUGAGUGGACGUAUGAUUUUUGAAUUAAAUGACUUUUCC
RNAcentral lists this long non-coding RNA (2829 nucleotides) under Homo sapiens (human). RNAcentral describes it as "non-protein coding lnc-HMHB1-6:2". The record is from RNAcentral. Lineage: Eukaryota; Metazoa; Chordata; Mammalia; Primates; Hominidae.